GGGCGAUUAGUUUAGUGGUAGAACAGAUCUCUCCAAAAGAUCUGGCGAGGGUUCGAUUCCUUCAUCGCCCG
RNAcentral lists this transfer RNA (71 nucleotides) under Minisyncoccota bacterium. RNAcentral describes it as "tRNA-Trp". It matches the Rfam family "tRNA". From Rfam's summary of the family: Transfer RNA (tRNA) molecules are approximately 80 nucleotides in length. Their secondary structure includes four short double-helical elements and three loops (D, anti-codon, and T loops). Further hydrogen bonds mediate the characteristic L-shaped molecular structure. tRNAs have two regions of fundamental functional importance: the anti-codon, which is responsible for specific mRNA codon recognition, and the 3' end, to which the tRNAs corresponding amino acid is attached (by aminoacyl-tRNA synthetases). tRNAs cope with the degeneracy of the genetic code in two manners: having more than one tRNA (with a specific anti-codon) for a particular amino acid; and 'wobble' base-pairing, i.e. permitting non-standard base-pairing at the 3rd anti-codon position. The record is from RNAcentral. Lineage: Bacteria; Bacillati; Minisyncoccota.